This 500-nucleotide ribosomal RNA is filed under the name uncultured bacterium. RNAcentral describes it as "partial 16S ribosomal RNA". It matches the Rfam family "Bacterial small subunit ribosomal RNA", at positions 30 to 523 of the family's 1533-position model. The record is from RNAcentral.
AUUGAACGCUGGCGGCAUGCCUUACACAUGCAAGUCGAACGGCAGCACGGGAGCAAUCCUGGUGGCGAGUGGCGAACGGGUGAGUAAAGUAUCGGAACGUGCCCAGUCGUGGGGGAUAACGUAGCGAAAGUUACGCUAAUACCGCAUACGAUCUAUGGAUGAAAGCGGGGGAUCGCAAGACCUCGCGCGAUUGGAGCGGCCGAUAUCAGAUUAGGUAGUGGGUGGGGUAAAGGCUCACCAAGCCGACGAUCUGUAGCUGGUCUGAGAGGACGACCAGCCACCCUGGGACUGAGACACGGCCCAGACUCCUACGGGAGGCAGCAGUGGGGAAUUUUGGACAAUGGGCGAAAGCCUGAUCCAGCCAUGCCGCGUGCAGGAUGAAGGCCUUCGGGUUGUAAACUGCUUUUGUACGGAACGAAAAGGUUUGGCCUAAUAAGCUGAGCUCAUGACGGUACCGUAAGAAUAAGCACCGGCUAACUACGUGCCAGCCGCCGCUGUAA